CGUCACAUGAAUGAAGCAAACAUUAAUUCUGAAUGAUGAAUAAGCUAAAUCAUGCAAAUAUAACUUGUUAGUAGAUAAUGGAACUAACGGGACUGCCCUGUUAGGGCUCCUGACAGACGUUCACUAUGGUGCAUCAAGUUUUUUGGAACCUCUCCAGCGCGCUGACAGUGAACAAUGAUUAAUUUAAUAUUGACUUCGGGGUGCUCUUUAAGAAGCGUGAGGGAAAUUCCCGCCCAGACCAGACCCUUACUGUGAGCUGCCCAGGAGGAGACACAUCAUCCGCAAAACAAUUGAGGGACGACAACUGAUUUCAUCAGUAACCAUGCCCAAGUGAGCACAGACAUUGUGUCGGCGUGAUGGACGAUCAACGAUAUUGCUCUUGCUGCGGGUGAUUCCUUGAUCCACCUCUACGCAGAUGACACCAUUCUGUAUACAUCUGGCCCUUCUUUGGACACUGUGUUAACAAACCUCCAAACGAGCUUCAAUGCCAUACAACACUCUUUCCAUGGCCUCCAACUGCUCUUAAAUGCUAGUAAAACUAAAUGCAUGCUCUUCAACCUAUCGCUGCCCGCACCCGCACGCCUGACCGACUAGCAUCAGUACUCUGGACAGUACUGACUUAGAAUAUGUGGACAACUAAAAAUACCUAUGUGUCUGGCUAGGCUGUAAACUCUCCUUCCAGACUCAUAUUAAGCAUUUCCAAUCCAAAAUUAAAUCUAGAAUCGGCUUCCUAUUUCGCAACAAAGCCUCCUUCACUCAUGCUGCCAAACAUACCCCCGUAAAACUGACUAUCCUACCGAUCCUCGACUUCGGUGAUGUCAUUUACAAAAUAGCCUUCAACAUUCUAGGGCGAACUGAAACACUAUCUGAAGAAGAACAUGAAGAAAUGCCAGAAAGAUGAGUGCCAGCAGGAAGGGGGUGGUUGAGAGAAAACCAAUAAUGCUGUGAAAGGAUCCAGGAACCCAAAGUAUUUGGGUGGAUCCCGUCCUCCUUAUAAAACAUGUUUUGUUUCCAAAAGGUAUCGAAAUUGUUAACAAAAGUUACACUCAUUGAGCUGCAAUAAUCACGAAGCCAGUUGUGAAGAGAAAUAAACCUGCUAAAGCAUUCAAUGCCACGAUUCAGAGGGCACAGAGCCUAAUAUGAUGGGUCUUUUGUUAGUGUCUAGCAGAGAGUCAAUCAGCUCUUUAAAAUCCAGUUUCAACUGUUCAGAGCUGCCGUCAUAAUGUCAUUAAAACCCACAUGAACUACAAUAGAAUCGAUUUCCAUGUCCUGACGUAGUACCAUCGGGAACAGCUUAGUAAUGUCAUUUCUCAAGCUCCGGUAUAGGACAUUUUUGAAUAUACUGUAUGUCAAUGUAAAUGUAUAUUCUGCCAGUAUCGAUGUGUCGGUGUGUGCUAAGUUGAGGGUCUUAAAUUAAAGUGAUAGAACCAAUGUGAAGCUCUAAGGACUGUCAUUCUAAAUUUGGGGUGGAUAAUUUAUCAAUAGUUAUAAUUAUGAUUUGGAAAUGCGAGGCUUCUUGAGACAGAGCUAUGCCCCUAAAAUGUGAGGAGAGACACUAGAUUGUAGCUUGGGAUAACCUUGCACCAAUCUCAUUCUUAUCAAUGUUGGUGUGAAACUGUUAUAACAUGUGUUUUAUCUCAUCCCUGUGAAAGUCAAUAUGCAUGUGCCCUAGACCAAAUUCGGAAGAUAUCUAGAGACAUAGAGAAAAUUGUCAAUGCUAAAAAAAAAAAGUAAAUUGGCUCUGCAAAACAGAGAGGCUCUUGACUAUCUUUUGGCAGGUCAAGGGGGCACUUGUGCAAUCAUUGGCGAUGAAUGUUGUACUUUUGUUCCAGAUUACUCUUCUGAUAUGACUGAUCUCGCUGAAUACAUUGCCACUGUUGCUAAGAAUAAUUCCCCACAACCAGAGUGGAUGCCUGCAACUUGGUUGGAAUUCCUGUUUGGAAGUUGGGGAUCCCAAGUUGCAAAAUGGGCUGCAGCGUGUGUUUAUUUCUUAGUUUGUCUAAAUUGUGAUAUUUAACAUGCUGUGUAUGUGUGUGUGUAUUUUUUAUCAAUUCACUCCUGUUAAUAAAAGUAUAACCUUUAUUAUGAUGAUAAUAUUAGCAUACUAAUUGGAUUGUACAACCAAGAAUGAAGGGUUUGAAAUGAUGAAGUGUCUGGUUUUAUGUGAUGAUUUCCCUUACUUAAAUAGAAAUAUGAUAUGCAAGCUAAAAUCUAAAUGCUUACAUUGAAAUGUUAUGAUUAUUAUCACACAAGUGAUAAGAGGAUGGAAUGUGAUGGCCAUUUUUAUGUUUGUGCUUUUCUAAUAACCAGUUUCUGUGCUCUGUUUGUGCUUUUCUAUAAACCAAUUUCUGUGUU
Molecule: non-coding RNA, 2355 nt
Organism: Salmo salar (Atlantic salmon)
Lineage: Eukaryota; Metazoa; Chordata; Actinopteri; Salmoniformes; Salmonidae
Source: RefSeq, a predicted model, not a curated record